RNAcentral lists this ribosomal RNA (253 nucleotides) under uncultured bacterium. Its description in RNAcentral is "partial 16S ribosomal RNA". It matches the Rfam family "Bacterial small subunit ribosomal RNA", at positions 524 to 776 of the family's 1533-position model. The record is from RNAcentral.
UACGUAGGGUGCGAGCGUUAAUCGGAAUUACUGGGCGUAAAGCGUGCGCAGGCGGUUUUGUAAGCCAGAUGUGAAAUCCCCGGGCUCAACCUGGGAAUGGCAUUUGGGACUGCAAGGCUGGAGUGUGGCAGAGGAGACUGGAAUUCCUGGUGUAGCAGUGAAAUGCGUAGAGAUGUGGAGGAAUACCGAUGGCGAAGGCAGCCCCCUGGGAUAACACUGACGCUCAUGCACGAAAGCGUGGGGAGCAAACAGG